Molecule: small nuclear RNA, 107 nt
Filed under: Tupaia belangeri chinensis (Chinese tree shrew)
Lineage: Eukaryota; Metazoa; Chordata; Mammalia; Scandentia; Tupaiidae
Source: RNAcentral
GUGCUCACUUCGGCAGCACGUAUACUAAAAUUGGAACAAUAGAGAGAAGAUUAGCAUGGCCCCUGCACAAGGAUGACACGCAAAUUUGUGACGCAGUCCAUAUUUUA